This 412-nucleotide ribosomal RNA is filed under the name Arianta arbustorum arbustorum. RNAcentral describes it as "partial 16S ribosomal RNA". It matches the Rfam family "Archaeal large subunit ribosomal RNA", at positions 1921 to 2670 of the family's 2987-position model. Lineage: Eukaryota; Metazoa; Mollusca; Gastropoda; Stylommatophora; Helicidae. The record is from RNAcentral.
AACCUUAUGAUAUAAUAUAAGGCUUUUUCUGCUCCAUGGGAAUCUAAAUAGCCGCAGUACCCUGACUGUGCAAAGGUAGCAUAAUCAGUUGACUUAUAAUUGAAGUCUAGAAUGAAUGAAUAUACGGGCAGCAACUGUCUCAGAAGUAUUUUAAUUAAUUUAGUUACCAAGUGCAAAUACUUGAAGUUAUAAAAAAGACGAGAAGACCCUAGAAACUUUAAAUUUAAUUUGUUGGGGCGACAGAAUUACAUAUAACUAAUUUUAUAUUACAAGAAACAUUAGGUGGAAGAACAAGUUACUCUAGGGAUAACAGCAUAAUUUAUUUUAAGUUUGUGACCUCGAUGUUGGACUAGGUAUAAUAGUUUUUAAAAGAAUCUACUUAUCGCUCUGUUCGAGCAAUAAAAACCUACAU